GUACCAAGGCCUUGGAGAAGAUCACCGAGAGCGUGGAAUAAUUUUCCAUAUGUAUUUUUACUUUUUUAUACAUUUCUAUAUGUAUUGCUGGAGAGAUGAACUCUCUCUCUAUAUAUAUAUAUUUUUUAUUUUCAAGAUACAUUCAAGUUUUCUUUAAUUAGAUUAAAUUUCGUACAGAAAUGACCCGCAAGAAUCGUUGAUCUGUACAUUGAAAAUGCAAAAACACUGAAAAUAAUAAUGUAAAAACACUGAAAAUAAUAAUGCAAAAAAUUGAAAAUAAUAAUGCAAGAUACACUGGAAAAAAGUGAGUUUGAUUACAAGUCACUGUGGGUCCCGCUUUGGAUAAAGGAAGGAAAAAAAACCGAAAAAAAUGGGCAGUAGCUUGUCAGAUAGGCUUAGAACCUGCCAUAACUAGCAGUGUCGGGCGCCUUGGGGCCGACAAUGAUACCAAACAUUUUAAAAUCAAAAUUUCAACGAUAUAUGUUUGUAAAUUCGUUGAGUUCUUGCUUCGAGAGUCGUUUCUUGCCAGCCUCUUUCUUCUAGAGUUGAUGUGAGGGGCUAUUCGGUUGUUGAU
Molecule: long non-coding RNA, 574 nt
Filed under: Brachypodium distachyon (stiff brome)
Lineage: Eukaryota; Viridiplantae; Streptophyta; Magnoliopsida; Poales; Poaceae
Description: long non-coding RNA (BDIS_LNC004801)
Source: RNAcentral